RNAcentral lists this ribosomal RNA (253 nucleotides) under uncultured bacterium. RNAcentral describes it as "partial 16S ribosomal RNA". It matches the Rfam family "Bacterial small subunit ribosomal RNA", at positions 524 to 776 of the family's 1533-position model. The record is from RNAcentral.
GACGAACCUUGCUAACGUUAUUCGGAAUUACUGGGCUUAAAGGGUGCGUAGGCGGUGCAGCAAGUCGGGUGUGAAAGCCCUCAGCUCAACCGAGGAAUAGCGCUCCAAACUGCAAGGCUUGAGGGAGACAGGGGUAAGCGGAACUGAUGGUGGAGCGGUGAAAUGCGUUGAUAUCAUCAGGAACACCGGUGGCGAAAGCGGCUUACUGGGUCUCUUCUGACGCUGAGGAACGAAAGCUAGGGUAGCGAACGGG